Molecule: ribosomal RNA, 698 nt
Filed under: uncultured bacterium
Lineage: Bacteria
Description: bacterial SSU rRNA
Rfam family: Bacterial small subunit ribosomal RNA
Source: RNAcentral
GUAACACGUGAGUGGCCUGCCUUUUAGACUGGAACAACUUACCGAAAGGUGAGCUAAUGCCGGAUGAGUUAUAUAAGUGCAUGUUUAUAUAGGAAAAGUUGGGGAGACCUGACGCUGAAAGAUGGACUCGCGUCCCAUUAGCUAGUUGGUAGGGUAAUGGCCUACCAAGGCGACGAUGGGUAGCCGGCCUGAGAGGGUGGCCGGCCACACUGGGACUGAGACACGGCCCAGACUCCUACGGGAGGCAGCAGUGGGGAAUUUUGCGCAAUGCUCGUAAGAGUGACGCAGCGACGCCGCGUGAAUGACGAAGGCCUUCGGGUCGUAAAGUUCUUUCGACAGGGAAGAAAAUGCCUAUAAGUAACUGUGUAUGUAUUGACGGUACCUGUAUAAGCAGCCCCGGCUAACUCCGUGCCAGCAGCCGCGGUAAUACGGAGGGGGCGAGCGUUGUUCGGAGUGACUGGGCGUAAAGAGCACGUAGGCGGUGUUGUAAGUCAUUAGUCAAAGACUAGAGCUCAACUUUAGUAAGGCUAGUGAUACUAUAAUACUAGAGUAUCAGAGAGGAUUGCAGAAUUCCUGGUGUAGCGGUGAAAUGCGUAGAUAUCAGGAGGAAUACCGUUAGCGAAGGCGGCAAUCUGGCUGGAAACUGACGCUGAGGUGCGAAAGCGUGGGUAGCAAACAGGAUUAGAUACCCUGGUAGU